AUCCUGGCUCAGAUUGAACGCUGGCGGCAUGCCUUACACAUGCAAGUCGGACGGCAGCGCGGGCUUCGGCCUGGCGGCGAGUGGCGAACGGGUGAGUAAUACAUCGGAACGUAUCCUGGAGUGGGGGAUAGCCCGGCGAAAGCCGGAUUAAUACCGCAUACGCUCUGAGGAGGAAAGCGGGGGACCUUCGGGCCUCGCGCUCAAGGGGCGGCCGAUGGCGGAUUAGGUAGUUGGUGGGGUAAAGGCCUACCAAGCCGACGAUCCGUAGCUGGUCUGAGAGGACGACCAGCCACACUGGGACUGAGACACGGCCCAGACUCCUACGGGAGGCAGCAGUGGGGAAUUUUGGACAAUGGGGGCAACCCUGAUCCAGCAAUGCCGCGUGUGUGAAGAAGGCCUUCGGGUUGUAAA
Molecule: ribosomal RNA, 411 nt
Filed under: Burkholderia sp.
Lineage: Bacteria; Pseudomonadati; Pseudomonadota; Betaproteobacteria; Burkholderiales; Burkholderiaceae
Description: bacterial SSU rRNA
Rfam family: Bacterial small subunit ribosomal RNA
Source: RNAcentral